This 107-nucleotide small nucleolar RNA is filed under the name Dichanthelium oligosanthes. Lineage: Eukaryota; Viridiplantae; Streptophyta; Magnoliopsida; Poales; Poaceae. The record is from RNAcentral.
CUGCAUGAGUUGCAUCCUUCUGUAAAUAUGGACAAACAAUAAAGUUGAAGACAUUCAAGUGAGCACCGUGUGAGUCAUUGGUGCUCAUAAAGGACCAUCACACAUAC